GGGUUGUGAGGUUAAGCGACUAAGCGUACACGGUGGAUGCCCUGGCAGUCAGAGGCGAUGAAGGACGUGCUAAUCUGCGAUAAGCGUCGGUAAGGUGAUAUGAACCGUUAUAACCGGCGAUUUCCGAAUGGGGAAACCCAGUGUGUUUCGACACACUAUCAUUAACUGAAUCCAUAGGUUAAUGAGGCGAACCGGGGGAACUGAAACAUCUAAGUACCCCGAGGAAAAGAAAUCAACCGAGAUUCCCCCAGUAGCGGCGAGCGAACGGGGAGCAGCCCAGAGCCUGAAUCAGUGUGUGUGUUAGUGGAAGCGUCUGGAAAGGCGCGCGAUACAGGGUGACAGCCCCGUACACAAAAAUGCACAUGCUGUGAGCUCGAUGAGUAGGGCGGGACACGUGGUAUCCUGUCUGAAUAUGGGGGGACCAUCCUCCAAGGCUAAAUACUCCUGACUGACCGAUAGUGAACCAGUACCGUGAGGGAAAGGCGAAAAGAACCCCGGCGAGGGGAGUGAAAAAGAACCUGAAACCGUGUACGUACAAGCAGUGGGAGCACGCUUAGGCGUGUGACUGCGUACCUUUUGUAUAAUGGGUCAGCGACUUAUAUUCUGUAGCAAGGUUAACCGAAUAGGGGAGCCGAAGGGAAACCGAGUCUUAACUGGGCGUUAAGUUGCAGGGUAUAGACCCGAAACCCGGUGAUCUAGCCAUGGGCAGGUUGAAGGUUGGGUAACACUAACUGGAGGACCGAACCGACUAAUGUUGAAAAAUUAGCGGAUGACUUGUGGCUGGGGGUGAAAGGCCAAUCAAACCGGGAGAUAGCUGGUUCUCCCCGAAAGCUAUUUAGGUAGCGCCUCGUGAAUUCAUCUCCGGGGGUAGAGCACUGUUUCGGCAAGGGGGUCAUCCCGACUUACCAACCCGAUGCAAACUGCGAAUACCGGAGAAUGUUAUCACGGGAGACACACGGCGGGUGCUAACGUCCGUCGUGAAGAGGGAAACAACCCAGACCGCCAGCUAAGGUCCCAAAGUCAUGGUUAAGUGGGAAACGAUGUGGGAAGGCCCAGACAGCCAGGAUGUUGGCUUAGAAGCAGCCAUCAUUUAAAGAAAGCGUAAUAGCUCACUGGUCGAGUCGGCCUGCGCGGAAGAUGUAACGGGGCUAAACCAUGCACCGAAGCUGCGGCAGCGACGCUGAUGCGUUGUUGGGUAGGGGAGCGUUCUGUAAGCCUGCGAAGGUGUGCUGUGAGGCAUGCUGGAGGUAUCAGAAGUGCGAAUGCUGACAUAAGUAACGAUAAAGCGGGUGAAAAGCCCGCUCGCCGGAAGACCAAGGGUUCCUGUCCAACGUUAAUCGGGGCAGGGUGAGUCGACCCCUAAGGCGAGGCCGAAAGGCGUAGUCGAUGGGAAACAGGUUAAUAUUCCUGUACUUGGUGUUACUGCGAAGGGGGGACGGAGAAGGCUAUGUUGGCCGGGCGACGGUUGUCCCGGUUUAAGCGUGUAGGCUGGUUUUCCAGGCAAAUCCGGAAAAUCAAGGCUGAGGCGUGAUGACGAGGCACUACGGUGCUGAAGCAACAAAUGCCCUGCUUCCAGGAAAAGCCUCUAAGCAUCAGGUAACAUCAAAUCGUACCCCAAACCGACACAGGUGGUCAGGUAGAGAAUACCAAGGCGCUUGAGAGAACUCGGGUGAAGGAACUAGGCAAAAUGGUGCCGUAACUUCGGGAGAAGGCACGCUGAUAUGUAGGUGAGGUCCCUCGCGGAUGGAGCUGAAAUCAGUCGAAGAUACCAGCUGGCUGCAACUGUUUAUUAAAAACACAGCACUGUGCAAACACGAAAGUGGACGUAUACGGUGUGACGCCUGCCCGGUGCCGGAAGGUUAAUUGAUGGGGUUAGCGCAAGCGAAGCUCUUGAUCGAAGCCCCGGUAAACGGCGGCCGUAACUAUAACGGUCCUAAGGUAGCGAAAUUCCUUGUCGGGUAAGUUCCGACCUGCACGAAUGGCGUAAUGAUGGCCAGGCUGUCUCCACCCGAGACUCAGUGAAAUUGAACUCGCUGUGAAGAUGCAGUGUACCCGCGGCAAGACGGAAAGACCCCGUGAACCUUUACUAUAGCUUGACACUGAACAUUGAGCCUUGAUGUGUAGGAUAGGUGGGAGGCUUAGAAGUGUGGACGCCAGUCUGCAUGGAGCCGACCUUGAAAUACCACCCUUUAAUGUUUGAUGUUCUAACGUGGACCCGUAAUCCGGGUUG
RNAcentral lists this ribosomal RNA (2230 nucleotides) under Escherichia coli. RNAcentral's name for it is "partial 23S ribosomal RNA". It matches the Rfam family "Bacterial large subunit ribosomal RNA", at positions 1 to 2247 of the family's 2925-position model. Lineage: Bacteria; Pseudomonadati; Pseudomonadota; Gammaproteobacteria; Enterobacterales; Enterobacteriaceae. The record is from RNAcentral.